GCCGGGGUGGCCGAGCGGCCUAAGGCGACGGGCUUGAGACCCGUUGUCCCCCCGGGACGCGCGGGUUCGAAUCCCGCCCCCGGCGCCA
RNAcentral lists this transfer RNA (88 nucleotides) under Desulfurococcales archaeon. RNAcentral's name for it is "tRNA-Ser". It matches the Rfam family "tRNA". Rfam says of the family: Transfer RNA (tRNA) molecules are approximately 80 nucleotides in length. Lineage: Archaea; Thermoproteati; Thermoproteota; Thermoprotei; Desulfurococcales. The record is from RNAcentral.